UGGAAAUGCACUGAAUUCUUGCCCUCAGUCCCACUCACAGCCUCUUCCCUCUGCCCCAACCCCCAUUUUUCCAUCGUGCAAGGCUCCUUGCAUUCCGUGUUCCCAGCCCACCCACGUGCUGUGCCCCACAGCUCUGUGCUGCCCCAACACUGUGCUCCACCUGCAUCCUCUCCAAGCUGCCCUCCUGCAGCACGCUGCCCAGCUCCCUCCUGCAGGAGGACAUUUUGCCUUUCAGUUACAGCACAAGUGGCUUCCAGUAACCAGAUUGAAGUGAUGAUUAUCCUUCACGAAAGAUGCCUACAACGCACCUCUGGGUAGUCAAGAAAAAUUCAGCUUCAAAUUAAUUUAUCUGAGAGAUCCCUUGAGAGGGAAUGUGGCUGCUGACUGGGAAACCUUAUCUGACAGCUCUGAACUAAGAGGUCACACGGGGCUGGGAAGCAUCUUGAUUGAAGAAUAGCCAUUAUCCUUUACUACGCACUAUGUCAUUUUUUCUCUCUCGAAAACAAAGCUGUUGAGAACAUUUGGUUGGACACCAUAUAGAUCUUUUAAAGUUUGUCCCUCGGUGUCUCAUAAAUGCUGGCAAUAUGACUGCGAAACUGGGAAGAAACACGUUGUGGAGACAUGCAAGUUAGUGAAAAAACAGAGGUGUGGAAGACACACAGGUAUAAAUCAGAUACUGAACCAUUUCUCACCUUCAAUUAGGCGGAUAUGCAAAAAGUUUCACUUACCAAAAUUUACCAUGAAUGCUGAAUUAUUAAACAAACAACCUAAAUUGGAUAUUGAAUACCAAUCAUUAGCACAAAGAGAAAAAACUUGCUCCCUUGAGACGAGACAAUCUAAUCAACCUACAGGAAAUAAAUACUGAAGAAGUUAAAUUUAGUGCUCACUAAGUGCUAUUUUAACCUCUCCGGCUCAGCAAGAUUUAAGAUUUGUCUCAGAAAAACAGUUCUCUCUUCUCAAAUGAACUUUACUCUCAUCCUUUCUUCCACUUUUUUAUGCAAUCAACAAGAAAUAAAGCAACAAAAUCCUAUACUGCAAUUACACUUCAACUGCAAUGGGGCAAAGGACGACCCUUCUCCAACCACUAGACGAAAACUAACACGUACUUUGAAGCCCCGGGUAAUUAUUACCGAUCAUCACUUGUCUGAUUUUGUUUUCAUGGAGGAACACUGCUGGCAGCAGCAAGUUUCUACCCACAGAACUACGCAGUGGAAACCCAAAUUAACAACAGAAUUGAUGGCUUUAAAACACAAACGUCAUCUGCCAGUGUCCUGCCACCUGCUCUGAAGGACCUCAGUGGUGUGAAGCUGAGCUCCAUAACUUUGUGCAGUUAAGACUGUAAGUGAUGUUUAAAUCAGAAAUGUACCACCAUUCGUCAACUGGAAAAGAGAGACUGAGCAAUCAUAUUCAAGAAAUAAUUCUGUCUGGCAGCUCUUAAAUGUACGGAUUCCACUGCACAUUGCUGUGAAGCAAAUAGCGAGCACUUAAUAGCGCAGAUCAAAUCCUGCAGAAAACAAACUGUAUCACAUUCCAGCUCCAGGUAGGAAUACCACUGCCAAAUGCGUGGCCCGGUACCACAAACCUCUCUAGAUGACCUCCAAACGCCGCAGGAAAUCUGUCUGGUGGAUGUCUCCAGCCCUAGGCAUCUAAGAGCCCUGAAGGUCUCCUGAAGGUCAACAGAACAGCUCUUCCCUGUACUAAGAGGAGUUUAUGGAGGGUGUCUAUGGGAGGGGCCAUCCGUCUUGAAGGGAGUCCUGAUGAGGACCAGCUCAAGUCCACCAAAGCACAAUUUUAUUGUGAGCGGGCGGACUCAUUUCAGCUAUUUUAUUCUGUACUGGGUACAAAAAAAGAUACCUUACCCUUUAAUAACCCUUCCCAAAAUUGUUCAGAUACGCACUCUUCACAAACCACGAUGCUUUCAAACUUAACAGAAAUAGGGAACUCCUGGCAUUUCCCAACGCUUGCCAUGGCUCUGGGCACAGCUCCCAGGGCACUGCCGCAGAGCAGCAGCUCACACUCCUCACUGCAGCGCCAGUCCUGCUGCCAUUAACAAGACAAGCUGCAGAAUACAGAAGAAAUGCAUACAUGGCAACUGGCAUAUUUGUUGUGUGAUGUUUUGCAGCCCUCCGCCAUUCCUUUGCUCAAAUUCGGUUCUUCUCAAAGUAAUUUGUUCCACCAGCACGCUUCGUGUGCUGCCCAUCAGGGAGCAGAACGCAGAAAAGGCGAUCAAAGUGUUGCUAAACUAAAUGAGACAAAUUACUGGCAAACUGGCUUCUUCAUCCUGUUUUCUCCUUCUUGGCUUUAUUAUUCUCAUGUAGCAAAACACGACAAUCUCAAAUAUCCUUGCCACAGAAACACCAGUUAUUCAGGGCUAAGAGCCAUGAGGAUUAAGCCGCGAACAAAACUAUGCAUCCAAAUGCACGACGUUUUAGACAAAUGUACACAACAAGCUUGAAUUAUUUUCACUUGAGUGCUAAGACUGCUAGAAAAUGAAAAAGCUUAAAAAGUUCUGCCGCACUUAUUUCCUUGUCGUUGUUUUACAUAAUUAAUGGAACCUCUGGACCACUUAAACGCUUCAUCACUGCCCAUUUAACAAACACAAAAAGAUGCCUCUUGCUCCGGAGAAAGCCGCUUGGCACCAGCAAGGAAACAGCCCGAUUCAUCCCAAACAAAGGUUAACAACCGGGAAGCAAAAGCAAAGCUCUAACGGAACGCUGUCCCGGCCACACGAGCCCCCAGAUGACAGGGAGCGUUGGCUGGACGCAGUCCCGGCUGAUGCCCGCACACACACGGCGUGACUGUGACUACCCGGCUGUGGAUUGCAGAGCCAUGAGCCCGGCGGGGCGAGCAGUCGGCCUGCCUGCAGAGAAGCCUGCAGAAAGGCCAGGGCCUUUCCACGAGGGAAAAAACCCGCUGGAUUUCAGGUGACAUAAAGGAGCUACCAGCCACGUGCCACUGCCCUCGAUGAAUGCCCUUGUUGAACUCUCAGGAUAAGCAGAGGCGAAGUCAGAAUGACGAGGCCAGAAAUGGCGAAGUGUUACCGGCGCGUGUGAGCAGUUGUGGUGUUACUAAGCUCCGACAUGUGAUAUGGAAAACACACCAGUCUAUCCGAAAUUGUCUCUAAUCAAAAUCAGUAAACACUGAUUGCCAGGGAAUGAGCAAUUCAUAUAAACAGACAUUCCCCCGUAUUUUCACAUGCACAGAGGAUGAUUAUUCACACACUAUUCCACCAACUCUGUUUCAGCAUCCUUCAUUAUGGACCCAAAACUGAAUCCACGCUCUGAAACAAUGGAAAAACUGCUAAGAAUAGUGCCUGCCGAGAGGGCUGGGAGUGGUUUUAGACCCUACUUAAAUGUUUCUUCCAUCACACUACUUUUGCUGUUAGUUUCAGCGCUAUCAGCUGCAAUUACAAACAUAAAAUAUUGUAAUCCUGUUUAUAACCCAACUCUGCAACAACCAUAAACUCACA
This 3469-nucleotide long non-coding RNA is filed under the name Gallus gallus (chicken). RNAcentral describes it as "long non-coding RNA NONGGAT005777". Lineage: Eukaryota; Metazoa; Chordata; Aves; Galliformes; Phasianidae. The record is from RNAcentral.